GACGCCACCAUAGGCGGCAGUUGGUAUCUAUAGUAAAACCCUUGUUGGUUAUCGUUGAUCGGGAAAUGGACCCUAACGACCUAGCGAAGGCAUUUGUGGAGCACUACUACUCCACCUUCGAUAGCAACAGGGCUGGGCUUGGAAAUCUGUAUCAAGAAGGUUCCAUGUUGACAUUUGAAGGCAUUAAAACUCAAGGUUCACAAAAUAUUGUCGCUAAACUUACUAGCCUUCCCUUUCAGCAGUGUCAUCAUACCAUCACUACCAUUGAUUGUCAGCAUUCUGGUCCUGCUGGUGGCAUGAUUGUUGUCGUCUCCGGUAAUCUCCAGCUAGCCGGCGAACAGCAUGCUCUUAAGUUUGGCCAGAUGUUUCAUCUGAUGCCAACGCCACAAGGAAGCUUCUACGUCUUCAAUGACAUUUUCCGGUUGAAUUAUGGCUGAUAUGCACGAGACGAGUGCAACUCAUGUUAAUUUGUUCUGUCUUAUUCAAGUUUGAGACUUUUGGAUGAAAUUCAAGUUUCUUGAAAUGGUGCUAUUGUGCCUCUCCUAUAUAUACUUGUUUUAGAAAAUGCCAUGGUUUAAUGUUUUAGAGUUGCUCAAGUUUCUGGUCUGUUGAUGUUUUACUCAUUGGAGAAUUGACUUUUU
Molecule: unclassified non-coding RNA, 641 nt
Filed under: Hevea brasiliensis (rubber tree)
Lineage: Eukaryota; Viridiplantae; Streptophyta; Magnoliopsida; Malpighiales; Euphorbiaceae
Source: RNAcentral